AGAAAAUAGAUACCCGGGUAGUCCCAGCCGUAAACGAUGCUCGCUAGGUGUCAGGCAUGGCGCGACCGUGUCUGGUGCCGCAGGGAAGCCGUGAAGCGAGCCACCUGGGAAGUACGGCCGCAAGGCUGAAACUUAAAGGAAUUGGCGGGGGAGCACAACAACGGGUGGAGCCUGCGGUUUAAUUGGACUCAACGCCGGACAACUCACCGGGGGCGACAGCAAUAUGUAGGCCAGGCUGAAGACCUUGCCUGAAUCGCUGAGAGGAGGUGCAUGGCCGUCGCCAGUUCGUACUGUGAAGCAUCCUGUUAAGUCAGGCAACGAGCGAGACCCGUGCCCACUGUUACCAGCAUGUCCUCCGGGACGAUGGGUACUCUGUGGGGACCGCCGAUGUUAAAUCGGAGGAAGGUGCGGGCCACGGUAGGUCAGUAUGCCCCGGAAUCUCCCGGGGUCUACACGCGGGCUACAAUGGAUGGGACAAUGGGUCCCU
Molecule: ribosomal RNA, 487 nt
Filed under: uncultured bacterium
Lineage: Bacteria
Description: bacterial SSU rRNA
Rfam family: Archaeal small subunit ribosomal RNA
Source: RNAcentral